Molecule: long non-coding RNA, 5120 nt
Filed under: Sus scrofa (pig)
Lineage: Eukaryota; Metazoa; Chordata; Mammalia; Artiodactyla; Suidae
Description: lncRNA (ENSSSCG00000061044.1)
Source: RNAcentral
AACCCAGUUCCUGGGAGAAUUAGUCAACUGUGAAUUUCUCUUGUCUUUAUCAUGAUCCCACAGCAUCCACAGUUUCCAUGCAGUGAGGAAGUUUAACUCAACCUGGUGAACUUCAAGUCUUCUCUGCUCAAUACUGUUGAUGUGGAGAUAAGUUGAUACACCGUCCAGGGGCAGUUUACAGUUUUUUGCUCAUCAUGCUGUGCACGGUUCUCUGUGGAACAGAGAUUUGAUGUUUCCAGAACCUGCCUCUGGCUCAGCAAUUCUUUCACUUGUCUCAAAUUUACUCCUCCUUUUCUACGCUCCUUGGGCACUUCCCCCUGCCACCCACCCCUGUGCCCACUGCCUGCUCUCUGGGAAAAUCACCUGAGGUCUAGCUGUGGCAGCCUCUCAGGCCUAGACUUGCCCACCCUUCCACCGUGAACUCUGCUUCUUUCUGCCGAGGGACAGAGCCUAUCCCUGAAUUACUUACAGAUCCUCCAUUUAUUCAUAUAGAACAGGGAUGCAAAUUCUCAUGGGACCAUGAUGAGGAUAUGUUCAAGAAAGAGUGUAAAGUGUUAACUAUGUUGUCUGGCACAUAGAAAGCACACAAAUAGAUGGUAACCAAAAAAAAAAGAAAGAAAGAAAAAGAAACACCUUCACAUUUUUCUAAAAUUUCUCUGCAUUUUCAUCCCCUGGUCUCAGAGGAGGAGGAAGUAGGGUACAUAGUCUUUUUCUGAGGCUAUCGCAGAUCCAUUUCUAUUCCAGCUUAAAACAAGAAAGAGGAAUUACAGGUUCAUAUAAUGCAAAAAGUUCCAGAGGGAGGACAGACUUCAGCUGUAAACAGCGCCAUGAGGCAUAGCAUUCUGCCUCUCUCCCCUGCCUUUGCUGACUGGAACUUCAGGUUAAGGUAGGGCCUUUUGGGAUCAAAGGGAGCUGCAGAAGUUCAGGACACCAUGCUUCAUUUUUCACAAUCAACAGAGAAUGAGAAUUGCUUCCAGAACAUUAUUCAGAAGAGCAAAGAAGCUUCUUUUUCCAAAGCCUCAAGAAGGGAUUCCUGCUGUGGCUCAGUGGUUAAUGAACCUGACUAGUAUCCACGAGGAUGCGGGUUUGAUCCCUUGCCUCACUCAGUGGGCUAAGGAUCUGGCGUUGCUGUGAGCUGUGGUGUAGGUUGAAGUCUUCGCUUGGAUCCCGAGUUGCUGUGGCUGUUGUGUAGGCCAGCAGCUACAGCUCCAAUUCGACCCCUAGCCUAGGAACUUCCAUAUGCCAUAGGCGCAGCCCUAAAAAGCCAAAAAAAAAAAAAAAUCGAAAUUAAAAAAUUUUUCAAAAGCCUAAAGAAAAUCCCUCUCAAAUCUCAUUGGUCUAAGUUAGAAAAAAUGCCUUCCCUAAACUAGUCAGGUGAUAAGUCCAUGCCAUUUUAGUCUAGAACCUCAUGCUAGCAUUCUAGAAACAAGGUGGAGUCACAUUUUCCCAUUGCAUACAGGGUUUGGGGAUACUAGGCUGUGUUGUCCAAUAGCACAGUUCCAGAAGGUGUGAUUCCUAUGGAUUUCUUUUCCAGAUCUGUGUUCUAUGUUAUCCACCUAAAAUACAAUGGGAAUGGUGCUUUCUGGAGUUAUUCAGCUGGUGGCAUUGGACUUAGAAAGAGGUCCUUGAAGUUCAAGGCAUGAAGGGGUACUAGAUACUGGAUAGCUCAUCACAAAGUCCACCCCCACCAUGUGCCUUUGAGUCUGUCUCUUCCUCCUACCUAUGGAUCUUUCUUUCCCCUGUUCAUUUGUCCUUUUUUUUUUUUUUUUUCGCUUUUUUUGCUUUUUAGGGCUGCACCCACGGCAUAUGGAGGUUCCCAGGCUGGGGGUGGAAUUGGAAUGUAGCUGCCGGCCUCCACCACAGCCACAGCAACACAGAAUCCAAGCUGCGUCUGCGACCUACACCACAGCUCACAUCAAUGCCAGUCCUUAACCCACUGAGCAAGGCCAGGGAUUGAACCUGCACCUUCAUGAAUGCUAGUCAGAUUUGUUAACCACUGAGCCAUGACGGGAACUCCCAUUUGUCAUUUUUCUUGAAUUAGCAUCAGCUCCCUUGUUAUUGGAUCAUUUGUUUGUGCUCAUUCUUCUUCAUCCAAAACCAAAAACAGGGAGUUCCCAUGUGGCUAAGUGGGUUAAGUAUCUGGCUUGUCACUACAGUAGCUUGGGUCACUACUAUGGCACAAGCUCUAUCCCUGGCCCAGGAACUACAAGUGCAGCAAGAAAAAAAAAAGCAAAACUAAAAACAAAAUUAAAUUAAAAUUUAAAAAUUAAAAUUUCUCCAUACCUGCUUCUCCAGCAAGCUACCUUGGCUUCCCCAGCACAGUUAUUAAAAGCAUGGUUUAUAUUAUUCAUUGCCCCCACUCAGUAAUCUGGCUUCUCUGCCUCCUGUACUCUGCUGAAUCUGCUCUCUUAGAAUCAUUUUUCUAUAAACCUGAACAUCAGGCCGCUUCCAACUUCUCUGAUCACCACAUCUUCUUCCUUGAAACUCUCUUUUCCUUUCUGUCCAUUUAUUUGAUCAAUUUUAAUUGUCCUUCUGCCAUGUGCCAAACACCAGAGUUGAUGCUGAGAAUGCAAAUGUCUUUAAAAGAAUCCAGUCCUUGCCCUCAAGGAGGUGAUAAAGGCAGUGGGAUGGCAGCCAAUGAAACAAUAGGUAGAGCCAUAGUGGAGCAAGGAUCUAACUCUGCUAGGAAUAAGAGAAGCUUCUUAAAAAGGCAGUUCUUGGACUGUUUUUUUAAAAAGUUAGGAGACUAUUGAUUGGAAAAUGUCAAAAGCACAAGGAACAGCAUGGAACAAUCAGGAAACUACAAGUGGCUUGGAGUAGGUGGGGUGGGGGGCAUGGCAGAGAAGGUGAACGAGGGGAGGGAGAUUAAGCUGUUCAAGAAGGUAGAAGCCAGGUCACUCAAGGGUUUGGACAAGGUGACAUGGGUCGUGAGUGGCUGCUGAAGGAGUCUGAGCCAUUUAACGGCACAAUCAGAUUUUAUUUCUUUCUGAUCUAUUUCUUUCUCAUCAUUCCAGUGGGGUAUGGAAUAGGCAGGCAGGUGCCCAGAAGAUGGAGGACCAGUAAGGAAGGUGCUAAAGAAUUUGGGUAAAGAUGAUGAUGUUUCUGAACAAUAACUAUGGUGGUGGAUGUAAAGAAAGUAGAAUAAAUUCAAAAGAUAUUUAGGAAAUAAACACAUAAGACAUUUAGUGUGGAAUAGGAAGUCAGGACUAGUUAAAAAAAAUAGAGAAACCAAGUGGAGAGAGAAAUUCAAUAAUGUCAAAUAGCAGAGAGCCGAGUCACAAAAAGAAGAGAGGCUAUGCCUGGUUUUCUCCUUACUUCUAUGAUCACUUCUUAUUGAUGCUGGGGCUCUUAGCCCAGCCCUGGAGUGGAGCUGCUUCCCAUUGAUAAAGUCAGAGCAGAUCUCCUGUAUUCUUCCCUUCAUAACACUAUGUAAUCUAUGGCUUCAACUACUACAACCAUGUCAUAAGCUCCAAAUCUACGUAUCUGAGUCUGGCUUGUUUCUCAAAUUCCAAUGUCAAGUUUCAGUUGCUUCCUCAAUGCCUUUACUUGGAUGUCCACCUACCCAUUCUAACUAAACUGAAAUCAUUGUCUUCAUUCCAAACUUAUUCCCACCCCCCUCUCUCUUAAUCUGUUGGUGGUGCUGUUAUCCUUUUAGCUGGACAAUCUGCUGUCACCUCUGCAUCCUUAUUAGUUCACUCAUUUACCCAUCAAAGAUGAUUGAGCACCUACAAUAUUUCUUAAACUCUUCUAAGUGCUAUAGAUGUAGUGAUGAUCUGAACAAAGUGCCUGCGUCAUUAUAGUGAGGGACUACACAUGGCAUUAGAUAAGUGGAAUGAUUUAAAAUACAAUAGGAUAAAGAGCCUAAGAAUGACAGAGUGCUUGCUUGCAAUGUCCAAUAAGUUCCCUUCACUUUUAAUGCCUUUGGCAUUUAUCCUCACCCCUUUUCCAACACUGACCAAGUUCUGCCUUCAAAGUCCCUCAUUAGACAAAUGGCAGGAACGUCUCAGUUUAAUCCAACUCAUUUGAAAAAAAAAUAUGUACUGAGCACUUACCCUCUGUUGGAUACUAAACUUGACACAGAUUCUGAAAUGAACUCUAAAAAUUUUGUAAUUUAGAAAGAGUGAUGAACACUGAAAUCAUUUAAAUACAAAAAAUCAAUACACUCCACUUGGAAAUUAUACCUAACUAGCCAGAAAAAGUCACAGGAUAAGUAGAUCACUUCUGAAAGGGACUCAGGGGAGUGAGUUGUAUUCAAAAUGCCACCUGAUGGAGUUCCCGUCGUGGCUCAGUGGUUAAUGAAUCUGACUAGGAACCAUGAGGUUGUGGGUUCGAUCCCUGGCCUUGCUCAAGUCAGGGAUCCAGAGUUGCCUUGAGCUGUAGUGUAGGUCACAGAUGUGGCUCAGAUCCCGUUGCAGUGGCUGUGGUGUAGGCCAGCAGCUACAGCUCUGAUUAGACCCCUGGCCUGGGAACUUCCAUAUGCAGCAGGCAUGGCCCUAGAAAAAGACCAAAAAAAAAAAAAAAAAAAAAAAAUGCCCCUUGAAGGAUAGAUUGGAUUUUGUUGGGUCUGGGGUGGCAGCUGGAGAGGAAAAUGCAUUCCAGGUGGAAGACAAUGAGUGAGUAAAGGCAGGAAUGUGGGAAAACAUGACCGUCCAGAUAAUAGUGGGUGAUAUCAUUGCUGGGAGCUUAGGUUCCUGGCAGAGGUAGCUGAGGCUAAGAAGAAAGACUAGGACCACUCUGAGUUGUAAAGGCUGAUCUGAUGAAUUUAUAUUUAAAUCAUUAGAUGAUGAAAAUCCAUCUUUUUCUCUUGAUUUUUAUUACAUACAUGAUCUUUUUAUUUGUUAAUUUGCCUGUUUACAAAAAACUUGUGGAAUUACUACCCACUACUUUCCUAGCAUAUUGGUUAUUUAGUAAAAAAUUACUCUACAAAGCUCAUGUGUUGAAGUAAUAUCUCAAGAUAUGAAAGUUAGGUGAUCUUCUGGUAAAUGGUGGCAUGACUGUAUUUACAUCUGGAAAAAGUAUGUUUCUGAGCUUUGAAAUAUUUGGUUUUUCUGAUUAUUUUGACAUUAGACAAAGACUGAGGUAAGCUAGCUUACAAACCUCUAUUUCUACUAAUUCUGUGG